Molecule: long non-coding RNA, 728 nt
Organism: Mytilus californianus (California mussel)
Lineage: Eukaryota; Metazoa; Mollusca; Bivalvia; Mytilida; Mytilidae
Exons: 2
Source: RefSeq, a predicted model, not a curated record
UUUAAUUUCUAGUAUCAUUAUUUUAAAACUAUGUAUACACAAAUUAUCUUUCUCAUCUCAAUUAGUAAUAUGAGCUGGUGAUAGAAAUGUAAUGUGCCAUCUGGUUUCAAUUUAUCUCUGUGUAGUGGUAAAGACAGGAAGUACCAUAAAUUAAUGUACACAGAGUUUGAGGCCAAAUUAAGGGUAGAGCAUUUCUUCUUUGUAUAUAUUUCCAUUAUAACUUAUAACAUCAAAGAUAAAAAAAAAAAUAUAUAUAUAAUUAUUUUUUUAUUAUAAUAUAUAACAAAUAUUCAAGAUUUAGGCAAUUGAUAUUUAUAAUUAGGGGCAAAUUUCAAAGGGAUCACACUGUCACAAUACCCUAAGCAACCUUGAUCAACAUAUUCAAAAUUUGAACUGGACAUGAACAUGCAUACAACAAACAAAGAUGUCUUCUAUCAUGAACAAAGUAAUAUGAAUUUUACAAUGGAUUUAGAUCCAAGAGUUCCAAUUAAUUCUAUUGACACUGGAUAGUGCAUAUGAUAGCCUUCAGUUGACAUGACUCUUGGAUUUAGGAAGAUUGGUGUUUACACAUAAUUUGGAUAACAUCUUUUGUAUUUGAAAUCAGAAAAUUCAACUUUAAGGACAGUGAGUACAGAGAAACAGAACUAAAGGAUACACAGAUAUGUAACACAACAACCUAUAGAGGACAGAGAAAAUUUUGUUUUAUUAUUAAAUCAUACUUUUUUAAA